RNAcentral lists this ribosomal RNA (506 nucleotides) under uncultured bacterium. Its description in RNAcentral is "bacterial SSU rRNA". It matches the Rfam family "Bacterial small subunit ribosomal RNA", at positions 36 to 524 of the family's 1533-position model. The record is from RNAcentral.
UUAUAUAACCGGCGGCAGGCUUACACAUGCAAGUCGAACGGUAGCAGGAGAAAGCUUGCUUUCUUGCUGACGAGUGGCGGACGGGUGAGUAAUGCUUGGGAAUCUGGCUUAUGGAGGGGGAUAACUACUGGAAGCGGUAGCUAAUACCGCGUAAUAUCUUCGGAUUAAAGGGUGGGAUCUUCGGACCACUUGCCAUAAGAUGAGCCCAAGUGGGAUUAGGUAGUUGGUGGGGUAAAGGCCUACCAAGCCGACGAUCUCUAGCUGGUCUGAGAGGAUGGCCAGCCACACUGGAACUGAGACACGGUCCAGACUCCUACGGGAGGCAGCAGUGGGGAAUAUUGCACAAUGGGGGGAGCCCUGAUGCAGCCAUGCCGCGUGAAUGAAGAAGGCCUUCGGGUUGUAAAGUUCUUUCGGUGAUGAGGAAGGCAGGCUUGUUAAUAGCAAGUUUGAUUGACGUUAGUCACAGAAGAAGCACCGGCUAACUCCGUGCCAGCAGCCGCGGUAAU